GAUGAACGCUGGCGGCGUGCCUAAUACAUGCCAGUCGAGCGAACGGACGAGAAGCUUGCUUCUCUGAUGUUAGCGGCGGACGGGUGAGUAACACGUGGAUAACCUACCUAUAAGACUGGGAUAACUUCGGGAAACCGGAGCUAAUGCCGGAUGAUAUUUUGAACCGCAUGGUUCAAAAGUGAAAGACGGUCUUGCUGUCACUUAUAGAUGGAUCCGCGCUGCAUUAGCUAGUUGGUAAGGUAACGGCUUACCAAGGCAACGAUGCAUAGCCGACCUGAGAGGGUGAUCGGCCACACUGGAACUGAGACACGGUCCAGACUCCUACGGGAGGCAGCAGUAGGGAAUCUUCCGCAAUGGGCGAAAGCCUGACGGAGCAACGCCGCGUGAGUGAUGAAGGUCUUCGGAUCGUAAAACUCUGUUAUUAGGGAAGAACAUAUGUGUAAGUAACUGUGCACAUCUUGACGGUACCUAAUCAGAAAGCCACGGCUAACUACGUG
RNAcentral lists this ribosomal RNA (497 nucleotides) under uncultured bacterium. RNAcentral describes it as "partial 16S ribosomal RNA". It matches the Rfam family "Bacterial small subunit ribosomal RNA", at positions 28 to 507 of the family's 1533-position model. The record is from RNAcentral.